RNAcentral lists this ribosomal RNA (916 nucleotides) under human oral metagenome. RNAcentral's name for it is "bacterial LSU rRNA". It matches the Rfam family "Bacterial large subunit ribosomal RNA", at positions 2015 to 2925 of the family's 2925-position model. The record is from RNAcentral.
ACUGUCUCCUCCCGAGACUCAGCGAAGUUGAAGUGGUUGUGAAGAUGCAAUCUACCCGCUGCUAGACGGAAAGACCCCGUGAACCUUUACUGUAGCUUUGCAUUGGACUUUGAAGUCACUUGUGUAGGAUAGGUGGGAGGCUUAGAAGCAGAGACGCCAGUCUCUGUGGAGCCGUCCUUGAAAUACCACCCUGGUGUCUUUGAGGUUCUAACCCAGACCCGUAAUCCGGGUCGGGGACCGUGCAUGGUAGGCAGUUUGACUGGGGCGGUCUCCUCCCAAAGAGUAACGGAGGAGUUCGAAGGUUACCUAGGUCCGGUCGGAAAUCGGACUGAUAGUGCAAUGGCAAAAGGUAGCUUAACUGCGAGACCGACAAGUCGAGCAGGUGCGAAAGCAGGACAUAGUGAUCCGGUGGUUCUGUAUGGAAGGGCCAUCGCUCAACGGAUAAAAGGUACUCUGGGGAUAACAGGCUGAUACCGCCCAAGAGUUCAUAUCGACGGCGGUGUUUGGCACCUCGAUGUCGGCUCAUCUCAUCCUGGGGCUGUAGCCGGUCCCAAGGGUAUGGCUGUUCGCCAUUUAAAGAGGUACGUGAGCUGGGUUUAAAACGUCGUGAGACAGUUUGGUCCCUAUCUGCUGUGGGCGUUGGAGAUUUGACGGGGGCUGCUCCUAGUACGAGAGGACCGGAGUGGACACACCUCUGGUGUACCUGUUGUCACGCCAGUGGCAUCGCAGGGUAGCUAAGUGUGGAAGAGAUAACCGCUGAAAGCAUCUAAGCGGGAAACUUGCCUGAAGAUGAGAUCUCCCUGGGGACUCGAUCCCCCUGAAGGGUCGUCCAAGACCAGGACGUUGAUAGGCCGGGUGUGGAAGCGCAGUAAUGCGUGCAGCUAACCGGUACUAAUUGCCCGUGAGGCUUGACCCU